GGUUUCGUUUACUUCCUUUCCUUUUCUUUUUUUUUUUUUUUAAUCUGAAAUUUAACUGAAAAUAUGUCGUUAAAAGAAGCAGGAAGAUUUGAGUUUAUAUAGCUUAAUUAAAACUGAAAAAUUAACAUAAUGACACUAGCAUCCAUACUUAAUCCAACAACUACAAUUUAUAUAUAUAUAUAUAUAUAUGUAUAUAUUCAAUUAGAAUGAAGCUCAUAAACGGCUGGUUAAUUACAACUGGGUUAAAUCAUGCAUCUUGAUAAAAGAUUAUUGGGGAAUUUGGCCCAAUACCCCUCUUUUAGAGGGGUUAAUGAAAUAUACCCCUUUCAUUUCAAAUGUUUUUGUUUUACCUUUUUAUUUUUCAAUAUACCCAAAUUACUCUUUUGAAAAGUGCCAUGGACGGAGCACGAAGAAAAGAGGAAGAGAAAGUGAGAGAAAAUGGGCAAAGCAGCUACUGGAGAGUGCUUCAGGAGGACGGACGAGUGGAGGAAGCACCCUAGGCUCACCAAUCAGCUCCGCCACGCCUUUCCUGGUUUUGGCCUCAGAGUCGCCGCCUUAGGCGUCUACCUAGACGGUGAGCAGCAACCAAACGUACCAUCUAAAGAUUGAAUUCAUCAAAACCAUCAUCGAUUUUUGGUGCAAACUUUGAAUUCGAAUCUUCGAGACCGAAAAUGAUGCUGAAUCUUGGAAAAUCUCUCACUGGGCAAUGAGUUACAGAAGGUAAUCUUUAUAUUUGUUUUAAAAGGCAAUGUACCCAGGUGGUUAUACUACAGAAGUUACAAGCUUAUCUCCAAAAGCAACAAAAAAGGAUAUUUAUGAUUUUUUUCACUUAUUGUGAUGUAACUGAGGAUGUUGAAAUCAUCAGGUCUGGUGAGUAUGCCUAUACUGUAUAUGUGACAUUCAAAGAUGCUUAGGCUCUAGAAACCACUGUCUUACUUAGUAUACCUUGUUGUUUACACUCAUCUAAAAUGAGUACUCAUCUACAUGAGCUAAGAAAAUAAAAUUGUGAGGGUAUAACUGAACAGUCAAUCCCCUUGCCUUUCCUCUCAUUCAUUUUUGUACAAUGGAGUAGAAAAUAAACAAAGAAAUUUUGGUUUUUUAGUUCUAGUCUAUUUUCCACUUUUUCUUCUUCUUCUUCUUCUUUUUUUCAUGUUCUUUUACACCAGUGCUUGCAAAUGAAAUCCAUUUAUUGAUGACUGAUGAUUUAUGGAUUUCUCAUAGUAAUCCCACUUCAAAGGUUUCGAGCCUAUAGUAUAACAAAGUUUAGUUUUCAUUAGGUGUCAAUAUUCCCCUUGAAUUGAAUUGUUGAACUGUUAAGUAUUUUUAACAUCAACUCUUUAAUUUGACGAGAUUGCUAUUGAUUGGAGAUAUGGUGGAUCAAUUGAUUUGCUUUCUCUUUCCUUAAUUCCUUGUAAUGAUAUGCCGGGGUGCAACCAUUGCAGAUCAGCGAGUAUGCAUAACACAUUAGGGAAUAUAAACGGAUGAAGAUGAUAGUUGGAAUAGUAGUCCAUGGAACCAUAAGGGCAAUAGUGGUUCAUUGGUAACAAAUCAAUAGAAAUAAUUUCCAUUGGAUGGGAAAGAUGGGUGCAUCACUUCACAAGUCUUCGAGAGGACAGGCAAUAGGGUUAAAACCUCCAUACCUUAUGCAUAUCUUAGUUAUGCAGCCCUUGUUUGGGAUGUUUGGAUAUGGAGGACCUAUUGCAUCUAUGCAUCUAGGAAGGCAUGCGCUUGUUUCUUCGAAGACAAAGAAUUCCAAGAAAGUAUAAAUGUUACAUCUUGAGAGAGAAGCCUUACUCGGUAGUUCUGACAGUGAACAUACUUGGAUGAUAGUUACGUUGCAUACCAGUUUCUUGAUCUGUCAGAGGGCCAUAUUUUUUAAUGCUUUUAUCUGAUUUCUCUUACAUCUUUGCAAUAGAACCACCCAACGGUUUUCAAUCUCUUGUACUAAUGGACAACUUCAUUUCCAUUUUAGACUGAUGAUGGUAUCAAAAAUCCCUCAGAAGCUGAAAUUAGGGACACACCCCACGGAUAACUACUCUGUUUCUAUUAUUUUAUACUUUUGGCAUGGUCAAAUUGAGACAGUAUGUGUAUCAAAUAAAUUUAUUAAGAUGUAUACUUUUGUAGGAGCUGUAAUAUUCUCUAGUUUUUAUUCAUAAAACACUUGUACAAUUUCCUCUUGCUAAUUCAGAUUUUGUUUUUAGUUUUUGUACAUGAUUCUCGUGUCAAUAUGAUGUGUAAGGAUCCAAUUUCAUUAUUAAAUUCUCCAUAUUAUUUGA
Long non-coding RNA from Ziziphus jujuba (common jujube), 2276 nucleotides. RefSeq lists it as uncharacterized. The record is from RefSeq and is a predicted model, not a curated record. Lineage: Eukaryota; Viridiplantae; Streptophyta; Magnoliopsida; Rosales; Rhamnaceae. The transcript has 6 exons.